RNAcentral lists this ribosomal RNA (497 nucleotides) under uncultured bacterium. Its description in RNAcentral is "partial 16S ribosomal RNA". It matches the Rfam family "Bacterial small subunit ribosomal RNA", at positions 28 to 507 of the family's 1533-position model. The record is from RNAcentral.
GAUGAACGCUGGCGGCGUGCCUAAUACAUGCAAGUCGAGCGAACAGACGAGGAGCUUGCUCCUCUGACGUUAGCGGCGGACGGGUGGGUAACACGUGGAUAACCUACCUAUAAGACUGGGAUAACUUCGGGAAACCGGAGCUAAUACCGGAUAAUAUAUUGAACCGCAUGGUUCAAUAGUGAAAGACGGUUUUGCUGUCACUUAUAGAUGGAUCCGCGCCGCAUUAGCUAGUUGGUAAGGUAACGGCUUACCAAGGCAACGAUGCGUAGCCGACCUGAGAGGGUGAUCGGCCACACUGGAACUGAGACACGGUCCAGACUCCUACGGGAGGCAGCGGUAGGGAAUCUUCCGCAAUGGGCGAAAGCCUGACGGAGCAACGCCGCGUGAGUGAUGAAGGUCUUCGGAUCGUAAAACUCUGUUAUUAGGGAAGAACAAAUGUGUAAGUAACUAUGCACGUCUUGACGGUACCUAAUCAGAAAGCCACGGCUAACUACGUG